RNAcentral lists this long non-coding RNA (248 nucleotides) under Salvia miltiorrhiza (redroot sage). RNAcentral describes it as "long non-coding RNA (SMIL_LNC004139)". Lineage: Eukaryota; Viridiplantae; Streptophyta; Magnoliopsida; Lamiales; Lamiaceae. The record is from RNAcentral.
AACCCUAAAUAUAAAUAGUGAUUUUUUUUUUGUAGCGAGGGAUUAUCAAUUUUUUUCUCCAAUUUCAUUUUUUUAUGUUUUAGUUUGGUUUUCAAAUUAUUAAUUAAGACUCACAAGUUCAUCUAUUUGAGGUUUAUAAUUAUUUCUAACAAUUAGUUUACAAAUUUUCAACUAAUAAUUAAUUAAUAGGAUUGAUUAAUCCAUAAUUAGAGUAAAUAUUUUUUUUAACUUUUAAUUUUUUAAUUUGC